AACGCACAUUGCGCCUAAGAGUAUUCUUUUAGGCAUGCUUGUUCGAGCGUCGUUUUAAAUCUUAAGGCUUUGCCUUUUUGUUGAUAUUUUGGGAGAAAUUUGGUUUCUCUCAAUUAUCUAAAAUAGUUGGCAAUUGUUUAAUGACCGAAUGCGCAGCGAAAUGCGGUACAGAAAGUCAUAUAAAACUUAUAUUUGCCAGUGUUAAUUAAUUGUUCGACCUCGGAUCAAGUAAGAUUACCCGCUGAACUUAA
RNAcentral lists this unclassified non-coding RNA (251 nucleotides) under uncultured fungus. Its description in RNAcentral is "sequence contains ITS2". The record is from RNAcentral. Lineage: Eukaryota; Fungi.